CAAAAGUCGAGGACGGGAAGAGUAAGUUUGGAUCUUGUUCCCCAGAGAGUUGGCAUAUUGCUGAAAGCCAAUGUUCAAGGCCAUUCCGAAGAUCAUCCCCGAGAUGCAAAGCUGAAGUUUUUAGUAGGCUUUGACGGUGAUUCCCCCGUUAAGAAAGGAACACGUAUGUUGGUACGUUGAAUGAGGUGCCGCACGUUUCUGUGCGGAAUAAGGGUGGUAACGCGAGCAAACUCGUCCCUGUU
RNAcentral lists this non-coding RNA (242 nucleotides) under Heyndrickxia coagulans. RNAcentral describes it as "Bacillus coagulans T-box sequence". It matches the Rfam family "T-box leader". Rfam says of the family: Uncharged tRNA acts as the effector for transcription antitermination of genes in the T-box leader family. T-boxes are found upstream of many aminoacyl-tRNA synthetase genes and some amino acid biosynthetic genes usually in Gram-positive bacteria. The record is from RNAcentral. Lineage: Bacteria; Bacillati; Bacillota; Bacilli; Caryophanales; Bacillaceae.